CUUUGACCCUGCCCUUGAUAAAACACAGUGGACCAACACCAGCAGCUGACAUGGCUCCCCAGACCAUCACUGGCUGUGGGUAUUAGACACUGGAC
Long non-coding RNA from Poecilia latipinna (sailfin molly), 95 nucleotides. RefSeq lists it as uncharacterized. The record is from RefSeq and is a predicted model, not a curated record. NCBI's taxonomy places the organism in Eukaryota, Metazoa, Chordata, Actinopteri, Cyprinodontiformes, Poeciliidae. The transcript is spliced from 3 exons.